This 495-nucleotide ribosomal RNA is filed under the name uncultured bacterium. RNAcentral's name for it is "partial 16S ribosomal RNA". It matches the Rfam family "Bacterial small subunit ribosomal RNA", at positions 28 to 507 of the family's 1533-position model. The record is from RNAcentral.
GACGAACGCUGGCGGCGUGCCUAAUACAUGCAAGUAGAACGCUGAAGGAGGAGCUUGCUCUUCUGGAUGAGUUGCGAACGGGUGAGUAACGCGUAGGUAACCUGCCUGGUAGCGGGGGAUAACUAUUGGAAACGAUAGCUAAUACCGCAUAAUAGUAGAUGUUGCAUGAUAUUUACUUAAAAGGUGCAAUUGCACCACUACCAGAUGGACCUGCGUUGUAUUAGCUAGUUGGUGGGGUAACGGCUCACCAAGGCGACGAUACAUAGCCGACCUGAGAGGGUGAUCGGCCACACUGGGACUGAGACACGGCCCAGACUCCUACGGGAGGCAGCAGUAGGGAAUCUUCGGCAAUGGACGAAAGUCUGACCGAGCAACGCCGCGUGAGUGAAGAAGGUUUUCGGAUCGUAAAGCUCUGUUGUAAGAGAAGAACGAGUGUGAGAGUGGAAAGUUCACACUGUGACGGUAUCUUACCAGAAAGGGACGGAUAACUACGUG